RNAcentral lists this transfer RNA (69 nucleotides) under Ictidomys tridecemlineatus (thirteen-lined ground squirrel). RNAcentral's name for it is "Spermophilus tridecemlineatus (thirteen-lined ground squirrel) tRNA". It matches the Rfam family "tRNA". Rfam says of the family: Transfer RNA (tRNA) molecules are approximately 80 nucleotides in length. Their secondary structure includes four short double-helical elements and three loops (D, anti-codon, and T loops). Lineage: Eukaryota; Metazoa; Chordata; Mammalia; Rodentia; Sciuridae. The record is from Rfam by way of RNAcentral.
GGGGUUGUGGCUCAGUGGUAGAGCACUUACCUGGCAUGUGUGAGGCUCUGGGUUUGAUCCUUAGCACCA